GUGUAUUCAGGCUUUGCUGGAUAUCAUGGACAUGUUUUGUGACCGACUGAGGUAAGGGCUGGGUGACGAGAUUCUCACCCAGCAUUCUCUCAAGGUAUAGGAGAAGCUCCUAGCAUAUAGUAUGAGAUCAACUCUGUGGAUUCCCACAUUUUUUCUACCCAACUGCCCAUCCCCAUAUUUUCUAUUUAUUCCCUUAAGUCGAAAUGCC
RNAcentral lists this long non-coding RNA (208 nucleotides) under Marmota monax (woodchuck). Lineage: Eukaryota; Metazoa; Chordata; Mammalia; Rodentia; Sciuridae. The record is from RNAcentral.